RNAcentral lists this ribosomal RNA (1517 nucleotides) under metagenome. Its description in RNAcentral is "bacterial LSU rRNA". It matches the Rfam family "Bacterial large subunit ribosomal RNA", at positions 1268 to 2915 of the family's 2925-position model. The record is from RNAcentral.
GAUAUUGCCAUCAUUCAGAAGCGAGAAUGUUGACAUGAGUAGCGACAAACAGGGUGAGAGACCCUGUCGCCGAAAGUCCAAGGGUUCCUGCUUAAAGCUAAUCUGAGCAGGGUGAGCCGACCCCUAAGGCGAGGCCGAAAGGCGUAGUCGAUGGGAACCAGGUUAAUAUUCCUGGGCCAGGAGGAAGUGACGGAUCGCAGAGCUUGUUCGACCUUAUCGGAUUGGUCGGGCCUGUGAGUGGUUCCUGGAAAUAGCCCUCCAUGAGAUCGUACCCUAAACCGACACAGGUGGACUGGUAGAGCAUACCAAGGCGCUUGAGAGAACUACGUUGAAGGAACUCGGCAAAAUACCUCCGUAACUUCGGGAGAAGGAGGCCCCGUUGGCGCGCAAGCGUUGGCGGGGGGCACAAACCAGGGGGUGGCGACUGUUUACUAAAAACACAGGACUCUGCGAAGCCCAAAGGCGACGUAUAGGGUCUGACGCCUGCCCGGUGCCGGAAGGUUAAAAGGAGGGGUGCAAGCUCCGAAUUGAAGCCCCGGUAAACGGCGGCCGUAACGAUAACGGUCCUAAGGUAGCGAAAUUCCUUGUCGGGUAAGUUCCGACCUGCACGAAUGGCGUAACGACUUCCCCGCUGUCUCCAACGUAGACUCAGCGAAAUUGAACUCCCCGUGAAGAUGCGGGGUUCCCGCGGUCAGACGGAAAGACCCCGUGCACCUUUACUACAGCUUCACACUGGCAUCAGGCCAGGCAUGUGCAGGAUAGGUGGCAGGCUUGAAGCGGGGACGCCAGUUCCCGGGGAGCCUCCCUUGAGAUACCACCCUUGCCUUGCCUGAUGUCUAACCGCGGACCGUCAUCCGGUUCCGGGACCCUGUGUGGCGGGUAGUUUGACUGGGGCGGUCGCCUCCCAAAGAGUAACGGAGGCGCGCGAUGGUGGGCUCAGGUUGGUCGGAAAUCAACCGUCGAGUGCAAUGGCAUAAGCCCGCCUGACUGCGAGACUGACAAGUCGAGCAGAGACGAAAGUCGGCCAUAGUGAUCCGGUGGUCCCGCGUGGAAGGGCCAUCGCUCAACGGAUAAAAGGUACGCCGGGGAUAACAGGCUGAUACUGCCCAAGAGUCCAUAUCGACGGCAGUGUUUGGCACCUCGAUGUCGGCUCAUCACAUCCUGGGGCUGGAGAAGGUCCCAAGGGUACGGCUGUUCGCCGUUUAAAGUGGUACGUGAGCUGGGUUUAGAACGUCGUGAGACAGUUCGGUCCCUAUCUGCCGUGGGUGUCGGAGACUUGAGAGGAGUUGCCCCUAGUACGAGAGGACCGGGGUGAACGCACCACUGGUGGACCUGUUGUCGUGCCAACGGCAGUGCAGGGUAGCUAUGUGCGGACAGGAUAACCGCUGAAGGCAUCUAAGCGGGAAGCCCCCCUCGAAACCAGGUCUCCCUUGAGGGCCGUGGAAGACCACCACGUCGAUAGGUCGGAGGUGUAAGUGCAGCAAUGUACUCAGCUGACCGAUACUAAUCGCCCGAAU